CCAAUAGCGUAUAUUAAAGUUGUUGCAGUUAAAAAGCUCGUAGUUGAAUUUCGGGAUUGACACAUCGGUCGUGCCUUAAGGGGUAUGAACUGGUGUAGUCAGUUUCUCACCUUCUGGAGAACCGCGAUGUCCUUAAUUGGGUGCCGCGAGGAACCAGGACCUUUACUUUGAAAAAAUUAGAGUGUUUAACGCAGGCAUUUUGCUUGAAUACAUUAGCAUGGAAUAAUAAAAUAGGACGGAUGGUUCUAUUUUGUUGGUUUCUAGGAUCACCGUAAUGAUUAAUAGGGAUAGUUGGGGGCAUUAGUAUUCAAUUGUCAGAGGUGAAAUUCUUGGAUUUAUUGAAGACUAACUACUGCGAAAGCAUUUGCCAAGGAUGUUUUCAUUAAUCAAGAACGAAAGUUAGGGGAUCGAAGACGAUCAGAUACCGUCGUAGUCUUAACCAUAAACUAUGCCGACUAGGAAUCAGACGAUGUUAAUUUUUUAAUGACUCGUUUGGCACCUUACG
RNAcentral lists this ribosomal RNA (505 nucleotides) under uncultured Glomeromycotina. RNAcentral describes it as "partial small subunit ribosomal RNA". It matches the Rfam family "Eukaryotic small subunit ribosomal RNA", at positions 591 to 1092 of the family's 1831-position model. Lineage: Eukaryota; Fungi; Glomeromycota. The record is from RNAcentral.